This 447-nucleotide ribosomal RNA is filed under the name uncultured bacterium. Its description in RNAcentral is "SSU rRNA". It matches the Rfam family "Bacterial small subunit ribosomal RNA", at positions 26 to 518 of the family's 1533-position model. The record is from RNAcentral.
AGAACGAACGCUGGCGGCAGGCUUAACACAUGCAAGUCGAACGCGUGUAGCAAUACACGAGUGGCGCACGGGUGAGUAACGCGUGGAUAUCUGCCUUUUGGUUCGGAAUAACCCCGGGAAACUGGGGCUAAUACCGGAUGGUUCCUACGGGAUAAAGAUUUAUCGCCAAAAGAUGAGUCCGCGUACGAUUAGCUAGUUGGUGAGGUAAUGGCUCACCAAGGCGACGAUCGUUAGCUGGUCUGAGAGGACGAUCAGCCACACUGGGACUGAGACACGGCCCAGACUCCUACGGGAGGCAGCAGUGGGGAAUAUUGGACAAUGGGGGCAACCCUGAUCCAGCCAUGCCGCGUGAGUGAUGAAGGCCUUCGGGUUGUAAAGCUCUUUUGGCGGGACGAUGAUGACGGUACCCGCAGAAUAAGCCCCGGCUAACUUCGCGCCAGCAGCCGC